GUGCCAGGAAAGGAAGGGCGCAGCUCCUGCAAUGCGGAGCGGCCAGGGCAGUGGGCACCAGGCUUUAGCCUCCCUUUCUCACCCUACAGAGGGCAGGCCCUUCAGCUCCAUUCUCCUCCAAGGCUGCAGAGGGGGCAGGAACUGGGGGUGACAGGAGAGCUGUAAGGUCUCCAGUGGGUCAUUCUGGGCCCAGAGAUGGGUGCUGAAGCUCCCACGCCUGCCUGUGAAAAUGGAGUCCUCUCUCACCUGGGAGAGCCAGGUGCUGCCCCGAGAAGGAUGCAUUUAUGGCUUCAUGAAGUCUUUCCUGACCCACGAUGCUGCUGACUAUAGAGACAAAGUCUCACUAUGUUGCUCAGGCUGGUCUUGAACUCCUGGCCUCAAGCGAUCCUCCCACCUUAGCCUCCCAAAGUGUUGGGAUUAUAGACAUGAGCCACUGCACCUGGCCGACCUUGGGCAAGUUCUUAAACCCUUCAAAGCCUCAUUUUUCUCCAAUCAUAAAAGGGAAAGAUGGUAAUAUUUUCCCCGCCAAAUUCUUGUAAGUAUUAAAUAUUGUAUAUGUAUGUUGAACAUGAUUAAGCUCUAAACACUUGUUAGGAAGCAGGAGUAGCAUUUGAAACAAACAGCUCUUUUCCCACAGGUCGGAUGCCCUCACAGAAUUGAGAUUAUGUACGCAAAACACCAGGUGCCUAACCCGGCACAGAGCAGGAGGGCUAAGUGUGACAUCCAGCACGUGGUCAGUGGAAUCCAGUAUUCCUACCCACCUCUCUAGUCUCCCCUCCACCCCUCUCCCUUUCAGAGGCACCAAGCUGCUUGUGGUCUUGUCUAUUCCCACUCCCUGCCUGACUGAACAUUUUCUCCACCUCCUGAUCAUCAGCAGCAGAAACUGGCUGCUCUUCCUCCUGGGUAGACAGCCAGACUGUAUUUCCCAGCUGCCCCUGCAGUGAGAUGUGGCCAUUGGAGCCAGCAUUGGCCAAUGGACUCUGCAUGGGAGUGACGCAUGCUGCCUCCAGGCUUGUCCCUAAAACCUCCCACGUGUCCUCCGCCUGCUCUUCCCACUUCCAAGGAGCACGGCAAUUGUGGAAGACUCAGAUUAGUGAUGGCAGAACCAUAGAUGGGAGGAACCUGGGUCCCUGACUUAAAGUAUCAUGGAUUUGGAUGUUCCCUUAGUGAGAAAUAAACUUCCAUUGUGUUUAAGCCUU
RNAcentral lists this long non-coding RNA (1199 nucleotides) under Pan troglodytes (chimpanzee). Its description in RNAcentral is "lincRNA". Lineage: Eukaryota; Metazoa; Chordata; Mammalia; Primates; Hominidae. The record is from RNAcentral.